RNAcentral lists this ribosomal RNA (497 nucleotides) under uncultured bacterium. RNAcentral's name for it is "partial 16S ribosomal RNA". It matches the Rfam family "Bacterial small subunit ribosomal RNA", at positions 38 to 507 of the family's 1533-position model. The record is from RNAcentral.
GGGGGGGGGGGGGGGGGGGGGGGGGGGGGGCGGGUGGGGGGGUGGGGGGGGGUACGUGUGCCGACUGGGUGGGCGGCGAACGGGUGAGUAACGCGUGGGGAAUCUGCCUGUGAGCGGGGGACAACAUUUGGAAACGAAUGCUAAUACCGCAUAAAAACUUUAAACACACGUUUUCAGUUUGAAAGAUGCAAUUGCAUCACUCAAAGAUGAUCCCGCGUUGUAUUAGCUAGUUGGUGAGGUAAAGGCUCACCAAGGCGAUGAUACAUAGCCGACCUGCGAGGGUGAUCGGCCACAGUGGGACCGAGACCAGGCCCAAGAUCCUACGGGAGGCAGCAGUAGGGAAUCUUCGGAAAUGGACGAAAGUCUGACCGAGCAACGCCGCGUGAGUGAAGAAGGUUUUCGGAUCGUAAAACGCUGUUGGUAGAGAAGAACGUUGGUGAGAGUGGAAAGCUCAUCAAGUGACGGUAACUACGCAGAAAGGGACGGCUAACUACGUG